This is a long non-coding RNA of Populus euphratica (Euphrates poplar), 607 nucleotides long. RefSeq lists it as uncharacterized. The record is from RefSeq and is a predicted model, not a curated record. NCBI's taxonomy places the organism in Eukaryota, Viridiplantae, Streptophyta, Magnoliopsida, Malpighiales, Salicaceae. The transcript is spliced from 2 exons.
CUUAAAGGGUUAUUCAAUUCAGCAGCUAGCAGGAAAUGUUGAAAGUUCCAAGGGGUCACAAGCUAGAGUCACUUCCGUCUCCCUCGGAUCAGAGAACUUCAUCCAGUAUUAUUCCAGGGUUAACCAAGUAGUUUUUCAGGACUUCUAACUCGAAGGUAUCAACUUCUAUUCUUGGAGCUAGGCUAUACAUACAUAAUAGCUUAUCCUCCCUGUUGUGUAAAUUGCCUUUUUGGUUCCUUUUCUUCUCUAAUUAAUGUGAUCAUCUUUUAAAUAAAAACGAGCAUGUGCAUGGAUGUAACAAUGCAAGGGAAAGCAAUAGAGUAUCGGUCUCUCUUUUUUUUUCUUAUCUAACAUUAAUAUUUUCAAUUGUUUAAAUACAUUAAUGAUCCUCUAAUUGUUUUUCAAUUAACCGAAUAAUGAGAUACAAUAAAACAUUAAAACUACCAUGAUGGAACAAUUUUUUAUGAUACCAAUAUAGAAAUAGUGUUUCAAUGAAAGGAAAAAGGAGAAACUAUUCACUUUGGCGUUGUCAGGCUUCUGAUGGCAAUCCUCCAUUUUUAUGGACAACAAACUUGAUUUCUAGAUUUUCUUGCACCCUCUAUCAUUU